CUCCUACGGGAGGCAGCAGUGGGGAAUAUUGGACAAUGGGGGGAACCCUGAUGCAGCCAUGCCGCGUGUGUGAAGAAGGCCUUUUGGUUGUAAAGCACUUUAAGCGAGGAGGAGGCUCCUAUAGAUAAUACCUAUAGUGAGUGGACGUUACUCGCAGAAUAAGCACCGGCUAACUCUGUGCCAGCAGCCGCGGUAAUACAGAGGGUGCGAGCGUUAAUCGGAUUUACUGGGCGUAAAGCGUACGUAGGCGGCUUUUUAAGUCGGAUGUGAAAUCCCUGAGCUUAACUUAGGAAUUGCAUUCGAUACUGGGAAGCUAGAGUAUGGGAGAGGAUGGUAGAAUUCCAGGUGUAGCGGUGAAAUGCGUAGAGAUCUGGAGGAAUACCGAUGGCGAAGGCAGCCAUCUGGCCUAAUACUGACGCUGAGGUACGAAAGCAUGGGGAGCAAACAGGAUUAGAUACCCUGGUAGUCCAUGCCGUAAACGAUGUCUACUAGCCGUUGGGGCCUUUGAGGCUUUAGCGGCGCAGCUAACGCGAUAAGUAGACCGCCUGGGGAAUACGGUCGCAAGACUAAAACUCAAAUGAAUUGACGGGGGCCCGCACAAGCGGUGGAGCAUGUGGUUUAAUUCGAUGCAACGCGAAGAACCUUACCUGGUCUUGACAUAGUAAGAACUUUCCAGAGAUGGAUUGGUGCCUUCGGGAACUUACAUACAGGUGCUGCAUGGCUGUCGUCAGCUCGUGUCGUGAGAUGUUGGGUUAAGUCCCGCAACGAGCGCAACCCUUGUCCUUAGUUGCUACCAUUUAGUUGGGCACUUUAAGGAGACUGCCGGUGAACAAACCGGAGGAAGGUGGGGGAUGACGUCAAGUCCUCAUGGCCCUUAUGGCUAGCGCUUCACACGUCAUACAAUGGUCGGUACAGAGGGUUGCCAAGCCGCGAGGUGGAGCUAAUCUCAUAAAACCGAUCGUAGUCCGGAUUGGAGUCUGCAACUCGACUCCAUGAAGUCGGAAUCGCUAGUAAUCGCGGAUCAGCAUGUCGCGGUGAAUACGUUCCCGGGCCUUGUACACACCGCCCGU
This 1070-nucleotide ribosomal RNA is filed under the name uncultured Acinetobacter sp. Its description in RNAcentral is "bacterial SSU rRNA". It matches the Rfam family "Bacterial small subunit ribosomal RNA", at positions 336 to 1397 of the family's 1533-position model. Lineage: Bacteria; Pseudomonadati; Pseudomonadota; Gammaproteobacteria; Moraxellales; Moraxellaceae. The record is from RNAcentral.